GAUGAACGCUGGCGGCGUGCCUAAUACAUGCGAGUCGAGCGAACAGACGAGGAGCUUGCUCCUCUGACGUUAGCGGCGGACGGGUGAGUAACACGUGGAUAACCUACCUAUAAGACUGGGAUAACUUCGGGAAACCGGAGCUAAUACCGGAUAAUAUAUUGAACCGCAUGGUUCAAUAGUGAAAAACGGUUUUGCUGUCACUUAUAGAUGGAUCCGCGCCGCAUUAGCUAGUUGGUAAGGUAACGGCUUACCAAGGCGACGAUGCGUAGCCGACCUGAGAGGGUGAUCGGCCACACUGGAACUGAGACACGGUCCAGACUCCUACGGGAGGCAGCAGUAGGGAAUCUUCCGCAAUGGGCGAAAGCCUGACGGAGCAACGCCGCGUGAGUGAUGAAGGUCUUCGGAUCGUAAAACUCUGUUAUUAGGGAAGAACAAAUGUGUAAGUAACUAUGCACGUCUUGACGGUACCUAAUCAGAAAGCCACGGCUAACUACGUG
Molecule: ribosomal RNA, 497 nt
Filed under: uncultured bacterium
Lineage: Bacteria
Description: partial 16S ribosomal RNA
Rfam family: Bacterial small subunit ribosomal RNA
Source: RNAcentral